AGUGAACGCUGGCGGUAGGCCUAACACAUGCAAGUCGAACGGCAGCACAGUAAGAGCUUGCUCUUACGGGUUGCGAGUGGCGGACGGGUGAGGAAUACAUCGGAAUCUACUUUUUCGUGGGGGAUAACGUAGGGAAACUUACGCUAAUACCGCAUACGACCUACGGGUGAAAGCAGGGGAUCUUCGGACCUUGCGCGGUUGAAUGAGCCGAUGUCGGAUUAGCUAGUUGGCGGGGUAAAGGCCCAGCAAGGCGACGAUCCGUAGCUGGUCUGAGAGGAUGGUCAGCCACACUGGAACUGAGGCACGGUCCAGACUCCUACGGGAGGCAGCAGUGGGGAAUAUUGGACAAUGGGCGCAAGCCUGAUCCAGCCAUACCGCGUGAGUGAAGAAGGCCUUCGGGUUGUAAAGACCUUUUGUUGGGAGAGAAAAGCAGCAGGUUAAUACCCCGCUGUUCUGACGGUACCCAAAGAAUAAGCACCGGCUAACUUCGUG
RNAcentral lists this ribosomal RNA (492 nucleotides) under uncultured bacterium. RNAcentral's name for it is "partial 16S ribosomal RNA". It matches the Rfam family "Bacterial small subunit ribosomal RNA", at positions 29 to 507 of the family's 1533-position model. The record is from RNAcentral.